This 425-nucleotide ribosomal RNA is filed under the name uncultured bacterium. RNAcentral describes it as "partial 16S ribosomal RNA". It matches the Rfam family "Bacterial small subunit ribosomal RNA", at positions 354 to 796 of the family's 1533-position model. The record is from RNAcentral.
GUGGGGAAUAUUGGACAAUGGGCGCAAGCCUGAUCCAGCCAUGCCGCGUGAGUGAUGAAGGCCUUAGGGUUGUAAAGCUCUUUCAGUGGGGACGAUAAUGACGGUACCCACAGAAGAAGCCCCGGCUAACUUCGUGCCAGCAGCCGCGGUAAUACGAAGGGGGCUAGCGUUGUUCGGAAUUACUGGGCGUAAAGCGCACGUAGGCGGAUCGGAAAGUUGGGGGUGAAAUCCCAGGGCUCAACCCUGGAACUGCCUUCAAAACUAUCGGUCUGGAGUCCGAGAGAGGUGAGUGGAAUUCCGAGUGUAGAGGUGAAAUUCGUAGAUAUUCGGAGGAACACCAGUGGCGAAGGCGGCUCACUGGCUCGGUACUGACGCUGAGGUGCGAAAGCGUGGGGAGCAAACAGGAUUAGAAACCCCUGUAGUCC